RNAcentral lists this ribosomal RNA (465 nucleotides) under uncultured bacterium. Its description in RNAcentral is "partial 16S ribosomal RNA". It matches the Rfam family "Bacterial small subunit ribosomal RNA", at positions 28 to 507 of the family's 1533-position model. The record is from RNAcentral.
GACGAACGCUGGCGGCGUGCUUAACACAUGCAAGUCGAACGGAAAGGCCCUGCUUGCAGGGUCCUCGAGUGGCGAACGGGUGAGUAACACGUGGGUGAUCUGCCCUGCACUUCGGGAUAAGCCUGGGAAACUGGGUCUAAUACCGGAUAUGACCUUCCAUAUAGUGUGGGGGGUGGAAAGAUUUAUCGGUGUGGGAUGAGCCCGCGGCCUAUCAGCUUGUUGGUGGGGUAAUGGCCUACCAAGGCGUCGACGGGUAGCCGGCCUGAGAGGGUGGACGGCCACAUUGGGACUGAGAUACGGCCCAGACUCCUACGGGAGGCAGCAGUGGGGAAUAUUGCACAAUGGGCGGAAGCCUUAUGCAGCGACGCCGCGUGGGGGAUGACGGCCUUCGGGUUGUAAACCUCUUUCGACAGGGACGAAGCUUCGGUGACGGUACCUGUAUAAGAAGCACCGGCUAACUACGUG